This 301-nucleotide ribosomal RNA is filed under the name uncultured bacterium. RNAcentral describes it as "partial 16S ribosomal RNA". It matches the Rfam family "Bacterial small subunit ribosomal RNA", at positions 509 to 807 of the family's 1533-position model. The record is from RNAcentral.
CAGCAGCCGCGGGAAUACGAAGGGGGCUAGCGUUGUUCGGAAUUACUGGGCGUAAAGGGCGCGUAGGCGGCCAUUCAAGUUAGAUGUGAAAGCCCUGGGCUCAACCUAGGAAUUGCAUUUGAUACUGUUUGGCUUGAGUUCGGGAGAGGUGAGUGGAAUUCCCAGUGUAGAGGUGAAAUUCGUAGAUAUUGGGAAGAACACCAGUGGCGAAGGCGGCUCACUGGACCGACACUGACGCUGAGGCGCGGAAGCGUGGGGAGCGAACAGGAUUAGAUACCCCAGUAGUCCCUGUCUCUUAUAC